UUAAAAGUUUAUUAUUUACUCAUCUAACACCUAAACUUAUCUAUUUAUACACAUACCACUUAAAAGCACUUUGUCUUUCUAAAAUACCACACCCUUUACUCUCUCCGUGAAAACCAGCCCGAUUUAGGGUGGACGAAAGGGGCAUUCCGUCCAGUCGUGGGAGUAGGCUCGAGAAGAAAGAAAGACAUUUUUUGGUUGGUUUUUCUUACACGGAAUACAGAAUAAGGUAUUCUCUCUGUGAAAUGGGGUUUGAGAAAUUGGGGAACGGGAAGGAGCGACGAAGGGGGACUCAGAGCUUGUUGAGGAGGAAGCAGGUGGAUUCCUAUCGGGUGAAGGCGCAGGAGGGAGGUCACCAGCUCGCUAAAGAACUCUCUGUUCUCCAGCUCGUUGCAAUAGUUUCUUUUGGCGGAGGACGUUAAGGCUGCCAAAUGCGGCCACGAUCCUGAGCGGAGUUCGCCGAAGAAUAGUCUCGGCCCUUUGGAGUUUCUUUCGAACAGACAGCCGAGAGCAGAGAGGGAGCAAGCAGACGAUUUUCAUGAACAGGAAGCUGAGUUUCGCGAUUAUUGGGCGGGUUUUGACGGAGGAAGCAGACGGAAUGGUAUUUUAGAAAAUGAAAUAAGUUUUAGGUGGUAUGUGUGUAAAUAGAUAAGUUUAGGUGUUAGAUGAGUAAAUAAGAAACUUUUAAGUGUUAUGUA
Molecule: long non-coding RNA, 695 nt
Organism: Dendrobium catenatum
Lineage: Eukaryota; Viridiplantae; Streptophyta; Magnoliopsida; Asparagales; Orchidaceae
Exons: 2
Source: RefSeq, a predicted model, not a curated record